Molecule: ribosomal RNA, 254 nt
Filed under: uncultured bacterium
Lineage: Bacteria
Description: partial 16S ribosomal RNA
Rfam family: Bacterial small subunit ribosomal RNA
Source: RNAcentral
UACAGGGGGGGCAAGCGUUGUUCGGAAUUACUGGGCGUAAAGGGCUCGUAGGUGGCCAACUAAGUCAGACGUGAAAUCCCUCAGCUUAACUGGGGAACUGCGUCUGAUACUGGAUGGCUUGAGUUUGGGAGAGGGAUGCGGAAUUCCAGGUGUAGCGGUGAAAUGCGUAGAUAUCUGGAGGAACACCGGUGGCGAAGGCGGCGUCCUGGACCAAUACUGACACUGAGUGAGCGAAAGCCAGGGGAGCAAACGGG